This 257-nucleotide ribosomal RNA is filed under the name uncultured bacterium. RNAcentral's name for it is "partial 16S ribosomal RNA". It matches the Rfam family "Bacterial small subunit ribosomal RNA", at positions 524 to 776 of the family's 1533-position model. The record is from RNAcentral.
AACGUAGGUUCCGAGCGUUAUCCGGAUUUACUGGGCGUAAAGCGCGUUCAGGCGGUUUGGCAAGUCGGGGCAUGAAAUCUCUCGGCUCAACCGGGAGAGGUUGUCCGAUACUGCUGGACUUGAGGGCAGUAGAGGGGUGGUGGGAAUUCCGGGGUGUAGUGGUGAAAUGCGUAGAUAUCAGGAGGAAUACCGAUGGCGAAGGCAGGUCUCUGGGCUAUAACUGACGCUCAUGCACGAAAGCGUGGGGAGCAAACAGG